GUCCCUUUCGUCCAGUGAUUAGGACAUCAUAUUUUCAUGUCGAAGACAUGGGUUUGAUUCCCGUAAGGGAUA
Non-coding RNA from Capsicum annuum, 72 nucleotides. The record is from Rfam. Lineage: Eukaryota; Viridiplantae; Streptophyta; Magnoliopsida; Solanales; Solanaceae.